AACUAUAACGGUCCUAAGGUAGCGAAAUUCCUUGUCAGGUAAGUUCUGACCCGCACGAAUGGCGUAAUGAUUUGGGCACUGUCUCAACAGCCCGCCCGGCGAAAUUGUAGUACUGGUGAAGAUGCCAGUUACCCGCAACUAGACGGAAAGACCCCAUGGAGCUUUACUGCAGCUUAAUACUGAAAUUCGGUAGUACAUGUACAGGAUAGGUGGGAGACUGAGAAAUACAGGCGUCAGCUUGUAUGGAGUCGCUGUUGGGAUACCACUCUUGUACUGCUGGGUUUCUAACCUGCGGCCGUGAAUCCGGUCGGGGGACACUGUUAGGCGGGCAGUUUGACUGGGGCGGUCGCCUCCCAAAAGGUAACGGAGGCGCUCAAAGGUUCGUUCAGCACGGACGGAAAUCGUGCAAUGAGUGUAAACGCAUAAACGAGCCUAACUGCGACACCGACGGGUGGAGCAGUAACGAAAGUUGGAGUUAGUGAUCCGGUGGUAUGUGAGUGGAAAUGCCAUCGCUCAACGGAUAAAAGUUACCCUGGGGAUAACAGGCUGAUCUCCCCCAAGAGUCCACAUCGACGGGGAGGUUUGGCACCUCGAUGUCGGCUCAUCGCAUCCUGGGGCUGAAUUCGGUCCCAAGGGUUUGGCUGUUCGCCAAUUAAAGCGGCACGCGAGCUGGGUUCAGAACGUCGUGAGACAGUUCGGUCCCUAUCUGUUGCGGGCGUAAGAGAUUUGAAGGGAGCUGUCCUUAGUACGAGAGGACCGGGAUGGACGUACCUCUGGUGCACCAGUUGUCCUGCCAAGGGCAUAGCUGGGUAGCUAUGUACGGACGAGAUAAACGCUGAAAGCAUCUAAGCGUGAAACUCCCCCUAAGAUGAGAUCUCUCAUCCUUUAAGGAGUAAGGACCCAGAAAGACGAUCUGGUUGAUAGGCCGAAGGUGGAAGCGCAGUAAUGUGUGGAGCUGAUCGGUACUAAUAGUCCGAGGGCUUGACCUA
This 989-nucleotide ribosomal RNA is filed under the name human gut metagenome. RNAcentral describes it as "bacterial LSU rRNA". It matches the Rfam family "Bacterial large subunit ribosomal RNA", at positions 1938 to 2925 of the family's 2925-position model. The record is from RNAcentral.